ACGUGGUGGCGAUAUUGAGCUGUGUAUACCUACAGCCGCUGAGAGCCGGUAUUCCAACGCCAUGAGACGCCUUCUGUCGUGAGCAGUUGACAAGAAAGACCCAGCACUUACUGCAACCGGAAGGAGCGGUUCCUCCCUCGCUCGCGCAGCCGCUCUUCCCCGCCACUCCCUCGGUGCCCGCCAGCACAUUCCCAGCAAGCCCUGAGUAUAUUUGCAUAUCAACUCACUACAUUUUUUUCUUCUAACUAAAAAAUCGAAAGGACAAAUUCCAGAUUCUCCUUGUGAAGUCUUCCUUUCAGUUCAGAAGAAAUGGAAUUCGCUCUUCAACUUCAGGAAGUUGAAAUAAAGAGUUGCUUGGAUUUUGUGUUCACCUUUACCAAAAAAUGGAUUUGGUAACACUGCCACCCUGCUUUGGUGACAGAGAAAGCAAAAAGGGCUUCUGUCGUGAGUGGCACACGUAGGGCAACUCGAUUGCUCUGCGUGCGGAAUCGACAUCAAGAGAUUUCGGAAGCAUAAUUUUUUGGUAUUUGGGCAGCUGGUGAUCGUUGGUCCCGGCGCCCUUUCUUUACUGUUAUAUGUUAGGCGAAAUAUUACGCGUUUGGAGUAAGUGGUGCUUUUUGUAACUGAAAAGAGAUUCUGUGUGUGUUUUUUUUUUUUUUUAGAGGCUGCAUAGUUAUUUGUAUGAACCGCAGGUGACCUAAUUAGCAAGGUAAUUCAGACCUGUAUCCUAGCACUUAAGAAGUGGAAGUGGGAUAACCCUGCGUGUUCUCGUGUGGGAGGCUAGCUUAAGCAACAAAGCAGGAAGGCCCCACCAACAAAAGAAUUUAAAAAUUAUACGUGCGUGGUGGCGCGCGUAUGAGGAAAUUAUUUGGCAACUGUGUUACAGUAUAGCAGCAAAUGGAAUAGACCUAGUCCCUGACUUUAGGAGACCUGCCUCAGCCCCCCGAAUGGCUGGGACUACAGGCGUGCGCCUCCGCGCCCAGCUAAUUUUUGCAUUUUUGGUAGAGACGGGUUCACCAUGUUGGCCAGGAUGGUCUCCAUCUCUUCAUCUGGUGAUCCGCCCACCUCGGCCUCUAGGAGUGCUAGGAUUACAGGCGUGGCCAUCGCGCCCGGCCUGCAAUGUUAUUUUAUGAAGCAGAGGAAAUUGAAAUUACCUUCACCAGGCCUUAGCAAACUUUUUCUAUACCUUAUACCAUACACAAAAGAUUAAUUCAAGGCCGGGCGCAGUGGCUCACGCCUGUAAUCCCAGCACUCCUAGAGGCCGAGGUGGGCGGAUCACCUGAAGUCGGGAUUUCAAGACCAGCCUGACCAACAUGGAGAAACCCCUUCUCUAACUAAAAAUACAAAAUUAGCCAGGCGUGGUGGAGUAUGCCUGUAAUCCCAGUUACUCAGGAGGCUGAGGCAGGAGAAUUGCUUGAACCCAGGAGGCGGAGGUUGCAGUGAGCCGAGACCGCACCAUUGCACUCCAGCCUGGGCAACAAGAGCAAAACUCCGUCUCAAAAAAAAAAAAAAAAAAAAGAUUAAAGACCUAAAUGUAAGACCUUAAACUAUAAAACUCUUAGAGAAAACACAGGGGAAAAUGACAUCGAAUUUGUCAGUGAUUUCUUGGAUAUAAACAAUGGUUUACAAGCAACAAAAAAUAAAUUGGUCCUCAUCAAAUUUUAAAAUGUUAACAUUAAUUUUAAAAUUAAAAUGAAAAACCCGGCCGCGUGCGGUGGCUCACGCCUGUAAUCCCAGCACUUUGGGAGGCCGAGGUGGGCGGAUCACCUGAGGUCAGGGGUUGGAGACCAGCCUAGCCAACAUGGUGAAACCCCGUCGCUCCUAAAAAUACAAAAAUUAGCCAGGCCUGGUGUCAGGCGCUUGUAAUCCCAGCUACUUGGGAGGCUGAGGCAGGAGAAUUGCUUGCACCGGGAGGCGGUGUUGCUGUGAGCCGAGAUCGUGCUACUGCACUCCAGCCUGGGCAACAGAGUGAGACUCUGUCUCAAAAAAAAAAAAAAAAAAAUAGCCGGGCAUGGUGGCUCCCAGCACUUUGGGAGGCUGAGGUGGGCAGAUCAUGAGGUCAGAAGGUCAGGACCAACCUGGACAAUAUGGUGAAACCCUGUCUCUACUAAAAAUACAAAAAAUUUAGCCGGGCAUGGUGGUGCAUGCCUGUAAUCCCAGCUACUCGGGAGGCUGAGGCAGGAGAAUCGCUUGCAUCCAGGAGGCAGAGGUUGCAGUGAGCCGAGAUAGCGUCAUUGCACUCCAGCCUGGACAAGAGCGAAACUCCGUCUCAGAAAAAAAAAAAAAAGAAAGAAAGAAAACCCUUGUACAUCAAAGGACACUAUCAACAGAGUGGAAAGACAAUCCACAGAAUCAGAGAACAUAUUUGUAAAUAAUAUAUCUGAUAAGGGAUUAAUAUCCAUAAUACAUAAGGAACUCAUAACUCAACAACAACAACACAAACCCAGCCCAGUUCAAUAAUGGGCAAAAGGACCUGUAUAGACAUUUCUC
RNAcentral lists this long non-coding RNA (2490 nucleotides) under Homo sapiens (human). RNAcentral's name for it is "non-protein coding LINC01715:13". The stretch from base 429 to 562 matches the Rfam family "U11 spliceosomal RNA". The record is from RNAcentral. Lineage: Eukaryota; Metazoa; Chordata; Mammalia; Primates; Hominidae.